This 960-nucleotide ribosomal RNA is filed under the name uncultured bacterium. Its description in RNAcentral is "bacterial SSU rRNA". It matches the Rfam family "Bacterial small subunit ribosomal RNA", at positions 51 to 995 of the family's 1533-position model. The record is from RNAcentral.
AUAAUGCAGUCGAGCGGACGGAUGGGAGCUUGCUCCCUGAAGUCAGCGGCGGACGGGUGAGUAACACGUGGGCAACCUGCCUGUAAGACUGGGAUAACUCCGGGAAACCGGGGCUAAUACCGGAUAACUCUUUUCCUCACAUGAGGAAAAGCUGAAAGAUGGUUUCGGCUAUCACUUACAGAUGGGCCCGCGGCGCAUUAGCUAGUUGGUGAGGUAACGGCUCACCAAGGCCACGAUGCGUAGCCGACCUGAGAGGGUGAUCGGCCACACUGGGACUGAGACACGGCCCAGACUCCUACGGGAGGCAGCAGUAGGGAAUCUUCCGCAAUGGACGAAAGUCUGACGGAGCAACGCCGCGUGAGUGAUGAAGGUUUUCGGAUCGUAAAACUCUGUUGUCAGGGAAGAACAAGUACCGGAGUAACUGCCGGUACCUUGACGGUACCUGACCAGAAAGCCACGGCUAACUACGUGCCAGCAGCCGCGGUAAUACGUAGGUGGCAAGCGUUGUCCGGAAUUAUUGGGCGUAAAGCGCGCGCAGGCGGUUCCUUAAGUCUGAUGUGAAAGCCCCCGGCUCAACCGGGGAGGGUCAUUGGAAACUGGGGAACUUGAGUGCAGAAAAGAAGAGUGGAAUUCCACGUGUAGCGGUGAAAUGCGUAGAGAUGUGGAGGAACACCAGUGGCGAAGGCGACUCUUUGGUCUGUAACUGACGCUGAGGCGCGAAAGCGUGGGGAGCAAACAGGAUUAGAUACCCUGGUAGUCCACGCCGUAAACGAUGAGUGCUAAGUGUUAGAGGGUUUCCGCCCUUUAGUGCUGCAGCAAACGCAUUAAGCACUCCGCCUGGGGAGUACGGGCGCAAGGCUGAAACUCAAAGGAAUUAACGGGGGCCCCCACAAGCGGUGGAUCAUGUGGUUUAAUUCCAAGCAACGCCGAGAACCUUACCAGGUGUUGAGAUCUCCGGAC